Long non-coding RNA from Aplysia californica (California sea hare), 925 nucleotides. RefSeq lists it as uncharacterized. The record is from RefSeq and is a predicted model, not a curated record. Lineage: Eukaryota; Metazoa; Mollusca; Gastropoda; Aplysiida; Aplysiidae. The transcript is spliced from 2 exons.
UGAAAAAACAACGCCCUUAACCAUCCCUCGCGCCGUAUUUCACUAACGUUUGCUCGGCUUAAAACGAUCAGCAAAAUCCGACUCUGAUUUGAGCCCCUGCUUUCCUUAAUUUUUAGUCUGGCCCCAAAAUUGUAGGCCAUUAAAACAUUCAGCCCCCGCCAGCAACAGGGGUAAUGAACUCCUCUUAUAUUAAUAAGGUACCCGGGCGAGUACAAGCCGGAAAACAUUACUCCCCCUCUACCUAAAAAAGAUACGAUGGUGCUAAACGCUGGCAACUGAUCACCAGAAAAAAAGGAAUUAAAAAAACAACGAAAAAGACCAGGGAGAAACACGGCCCUGCUGGCAGAGCUAUCGAUCUGUAGCUUUCUCCCCAAGCUGUGGCUCGAACGCAUAGACGCGUGAGAGAAAGAGAGCGAGCGAGAGAUGGACGGAGAGAGAGAGUGAGAGAGAGAGAGACAGAGAGAGAGAGAGAGAGAGACAGAGACAGAGAGUGUGUGUAUGUGCGUGUUUCGGCUAUGCUGUUCAAUCUGAGAUGCCGUUGGAGUUAGUGAGGGUGUCAGUCUGUGAGCAGAUGGUACUUCUUUUUAAACCGCUCGCCGCUACUUCAGGCACGUGUAGAAAAGUUGGUCAAAAAGGAAAGAACUGUCAAGACUCGCUGGGUCUCCGAGCGGGAACAUCCUCCGCGACCUGGAUCCGGAAAUUACCCAGCGAGCCGACCGCGGACAGGAUUUCUCUGCGAUAUUCUAUCGACCUGCCUCUCUGACCAACUCUAAUUAAAGUGCUCACCAGUGAAUGCAUAGUGCGUGUGGCAUUUAUUUCUAUCUCUGGAAUCGACAUCUUUUGUCCUUCAUUAUUCAGAUCUAGGCUUGGGGGUUCUUAAUAAUACUAUCUUCACCAAGUGUGCUCUAAAAACAAGAAUAUUGCU